CAUGUCGAGCCCAAAAGACGUCUAAGUGGGAGGGGCUUAUGCACGUGAGCAGCCCUAGUGUCAGACAUGACUAUUAGCGAUUAGCAUCAUUUGAAGCUAAAACGCGUUGAAAAUGAAAAUUUCACGGUGAAACAUUGACAAUGGAGAAUUUUAAAGAAUACAACCACGUGUGCAGACCCAUACUGUAACCACUUAAAAAGAAAGGUUGAUGAGUGGACGACUACUCUAUCUACAUAAUCUCUCACAUGCUUCACAUCUCAUCUUGACAUGAGACGGAGGACACAAUGUACGAAGGUAACCAAUGACACACUGAUGGGUACAGAUAGCAAGGAGCGGGUUUGUGCUCCGAGCAGAGAAACAACUAUGGAGAAUAAUGAACAUUUGGCACGCAAAAUGGAGGAUCCUGUUUGGGAAGCCCUUCCUGCAGAUCCUGAUGCCUUCCAGCACACCGUUGCAGCGCAGCUGGUGCAUCACCAGAGGGUUCUCCAUGGCCCCAGGAGUCUUGGUCUCAUUGGGGAUGAUGCAGCGGACAAAGUGAGGGUUCAUACAGACGUAGGAUGUAGGUCUGGACUCAAGCAUUUUCAUCAACUCGCUCCACAUUAAAAUGAAGGACCCUUCCGAUCCUCACUCGGCAUGGGGAUCACCACAAAUGAGAAGUGUUUCAUUUGCUUAUUCUGAAAAAAAGGAAGGAAAGGAAACUGCAAUCCAGCUAACACUGUCAAACAUGGGAGUAAAUAGGAUCCUGUUUGGGAAGCCCUUCCUGCAGAUCCUGAUGCCUUCCAGCACACCGUUGCAGCGCAGCUGGUGCAUCACCAGAGGGUUCUCCAUGGCCCCAGGAGUCUUGGUCUCAUUGGGGAUGAUGCAGCGGACAAAGUGAGGAUGUAAGAGGAGCUGUGUUCCAUCAAGGACAGCAGGCGUUCCCAGGGCUCUGACAGUUAAGAGCUGGAGCACUGUUGCUCACUCCCUGCUGCAGACAAAUCUCUCUCGAAUUACUUUGGACAGAGUCAGGAUUACACAUCUGAUGAUCCCAAGGGUCAUGGCUGGUCAUCAGUGACUCUCACUCCUCAUCUAGGCCUUUCUGUGGGAAAGAAAGACAAAAGAACAGACGAUUACGUGCUGUACCAAUAAUGAAUUGAUUUGUCUGACUAAUAUUGUGUGACAAAAAUGACAGCCAGCUCGCCACUGUCCCUGCUUUUACUUCUUAUCUUGAGCAACGGUGCAUUUUCCUCAGUGAAACAAUGCAUCUUCCUCUCAUUCAUUCAACGCAAUACUAUGUACUAUUAACAAACGCGUUUCCAUUAAAACAACUAAAAGCAGCUGUUCUUCAUGCCCAGUCUAAUUCAUUGCUGACACAAACGGUGUAGGUUGCAAAAACAUUCUUAAAAAACUUGCGUGGUAAACGCAACAUGACGAGAUAAGUUAAAUCUUAGGUAUAGUUUGAAUUGGUUAUGGAAGUUACUGGUGAUGACUUGUCCCCUUAACUUGAUCCUUCUGCACUAACUCUAACCACCGAUUCCAAAAUAAAGACUACAAAAUUACUUGUGUGGCUCAUUUUAUUGUAGAAUUUGUGAGUGAUGCACAUUUUAAUUCCCAGCUGGUCAGGAAUGAGUGGAUAGCGUCAUGCAGUACUUAGAGUACUUAGUGAAGGGGUGCUGUAGAAGGUCUUACCUUGGAGCCAACAUCCCGACUCUUUGCGCGCAUCUUGUUGACCUGAGAUUCAGCAAUAUCAGCCCUUUCUUCAGCCUCGUCCAACUCAUGCUGCAGUUUUCGGAACUUGCUCAAAUGUGUAUUAGCCUGCUCCUCCUAUCAUCAGAAAACACAGAAAAUCAUAAGUAACCGCAGAAUUGUUCUGUUUUAAUUUUGUUUUGGCGCAGGAAAAAUGGCAUGAUAUUAACUGCGCCAAUAUUUAUUCCUGUGCCCCAGAGUUGCCUUGAGAGAGAUACAAACCUGAGGCCCUCUCGUCGUGAGUCAGCUGCACUAUGUGCUGCCUGAACCAUCAACUUUGGGAAUAAAGGUUUGACAGAGAAAUGAACUAUACUUACGGCCUCCUCAGCAGAUCUCUUGUAAGCUUUGACCUUCAGCUGCAGCUUGUCCACAAGAUCCUGGAGACGCACAACGUUCUUGCGGUCUUCCUCAGUCUGAAUCAAAAACAAUAGUUAAAUGUGGUAUUUAGUUCUAAAAAACAAAAGUCGCUGAACAAUAGUCUGGGUUCUUGCUCAGCCAAGUAGGUGUAAAGACCUGGUAUGUUAGCUCCUUGAUACGCCGCUCGUAUUUGCGAAUUCCUUUCACAGCUUCAGCGCUCUUCUUCUGUUCCGACUCCACUUCAUUCUCAAGUUCCCUCACCUGCAUAUGUGUCACAAUCAAUGGCUAAGAAAACAGAUAGUGCCAGAAAGUGCCUUCAAAUCCCCAUGUACUGCUGACUCAUACCCUAGCCUCGAGUUUCUGGAGCUGCUUCUUUCCUCCCUUCAUGGCGAUCUGCUCAGCUUCGUCCAGACGGUGCUGCAGGUCUUUGAUGGUUUGCUCCAUGUUCUUCUUCAUGCGCUCCAGGUGAGCGCUGGUGUCCUGCUCUUUCUUCAGCUCCUCAGCCAUCAUGGCAGCAUCAGUGAUGGCCUUUUUGGCCUUCUCCUCUGCGUUUCUACACUCCUGGAUUGCGUCUUCAACCUCAGUCUGAAGCUGGGAUGCAUCCACCUCCAGCUUCUUCUUCUGGUUUAUCAGGCCGGUGUUCUGGUGGAGAGAGGAGGUGUGAUGAAGAGUUUGAGAAGUGAUACAAGAGCAAGAGAGAUGUUCCAAACCAUGACGUCUUUUUUACCUGUGAGUGCAGAAGCUGCACUCUCUCACUAACAUCCAGAAGCUCUUGCUCUGCAAGUUUGCGACUUCUUUCUGUUUGCUCAAGAGCAGCUCUGAGUUCCUCCAGCUCUGCCUGCAGCAGAUUAUUGCGUCUCUCCACAAUUGCAAUGUUCUCCUUCAGGUCAUCAUUGGCCCGGACAGCCUCAUCGAGCUGAAUUUGGCAAUCCUGCAUUUACAAAAGCCAUUGUUAAUCUUUCUACUCAUAAUAGAGGAACUUAAAAUCCAUUGUUCGUGUUUACCUUCAGAUGAGCAUGAACAGACUUGAGCUGCUUUUGGGCCUCAGCUGCCUGCCUGUUAGCUUGGCUCAACUGGACCUCCAUCUCAUUCAGGUCUCCUUCCAUCUUCUUCUUCAAACGAAGGGCCUCAUUUCUGCUGCGACACUCGGCUUCAAGAGAGCUCUGCAGGGUAUCAAUGGUCCUCUGCAUGUUCCUCUUGCUCUGCUCCAUCUCCUCAUCUUUUUCUGCCAGUUUACGCUCUAUUUCUGCUUUUAUUUGGUUGAACUCCAGCUGAGCUCGGAGAAUCUUGCCCUCCUCAUGCUCCAAAGAAGCCUGGUAGACAGUGAGGUACAUUUUAAAAUGACAAGACCUUAGCUGGUAAAUAUGUCAGUCUUAAUGUCUGUACUUCUGCUUCCUCAAGAGCUGACUGGAUCUCGCUCUUCUCUUGCUCCUGUUGUUUCCUCAAUUUUUCCAGCUCAUGGAUACUCUUUCCACUCUCACCAAGUUGCUCGGUAAUGUCGGAGAUCUCCUCUGUUGACAGUUAUACUUGAUGAUAAGUACCUUAUUAAGUGUGAUACAUUUCUAGUGAAUAUUAUCUGUGCUCUGACCCUGGAGGUUCUUGUUCUCCCUCUUCAUGGUCUCCAGAUGGUCCAGGGACUCUUCAUAUGAGUUCUUUAGUUUGAAGAGCUCUGUACUCAGGGCUCUGGCCUCCUUCUGAGAGCUUUCCAACUCACACUGAGACUCCUCAUACUUCUGCUUCCACUCAGAUAAGACCUGUUGGGGAUCAGGUUUGAAUUCAGCAGUUAGAUGUUUUGUCUGCAUUAAAGUCAACGUGAGCUUGUGUGGGGAAACCUUGUCAAAGUUUCUUUGCUUCUUGUCCAGGGCAGCAGCAGCCGCAUUCGAUCUCUCCACAUCGACCAUGAGAUCUUCGAUCUCAUUCUGCAGUCUGUGUUUGGUCUUCUCUAGAGAAGAGCAUUUAGCAUUGACUGCCUCGACAGCCUCCUCAGCUUCCUGGAGACGCUGGGCCAACUUCUUCCUAAACAAAAUGAUUCCUGGUCGGUUAUUUAUGUAGUAACUGUUCAUAUAUAAAAUCUGUUGUCCCACAGGCUGCUCAGUCAUCUCCCAGACAAACUUUUUGUUCGUCUUACAUUUUGAAAGGAACAUAACACAAACAAAAAGCUGGUCUGCCAGACAAUAUUGUUUUUUCCAAAACAUUCUAUGACUUAAAUCAAGUCUAAUAAUCUUACUUGGCCUCCUCCAGUUCCUCGGUCCUCUGGAUAGCAUCAGUUUCAUACUUAGUCCUCCACUGAGCCACCUCGGAGUUAGCCUUGGACAUGCCACGUUGCAGCUCACUUUUGGCUUCUUGUUCUUCCUCGUACUGCUCUCUGAGCAGGUCACAGUCAUGACGAGAAGACUGUACGGCAUGUGCCAGAGCACUCUUGGCCUGUCAGUCAUAGGAUAUUUGUAAAUACCAUUGUUGCGUUUGAUAUAGGCGAAUUAAGACCAGCACAAAAUGUACCUUAGUUUCCUCCUCCAGCUGCCUUUUCAAGUCCUCAAUCUGCUGUGUGUAGGACAUUUUUCCUCUUGUCAGUUGAGAAACCAUUGAGUCUUUCUCUUCCAGUUGUCUUGAGAGUUCCCCUGUUACACAAAUAAUAGCAAUCCAAAGUUUUUGUUUCUUCUCAGCCACAAAUACUGAAUACAUGAUGAAAAAAAUAGCCACCGUUUUCAGUUUGGAGCUUGGCCUUUUGCAUGUUGAAGUCAUUUAUGCAACGUUGAGCCUCUUCAAACUUUGUUUUGUACUCGUUCAUCUGAUCUUCCAAUGUUCUGCAAGUCUUCUCUAGAUUGGUCUGUAACAGAGAAAAUAUGUCCAACUCAAGAUCCAGGGACCAAAAGUUGCCUGCAUGUAUUUUUUUGUGGCCUGAAAGAAAUGUAAAUACCUAUAGUCGGCUUACAGCUAAAAUGAAUUGUAGUUAUAUUGUCUAUUUUAAUGUGCAUGUUGAUAUCAUGAACCAUGAUGCUACACAAUGUUGUAUCUUUAAUACAGUAGCUUCUUGCAAUUUCUUGUCAUUUGUUUUUUCUUCGUGAAAACACUAGUAAUUCAGUCAGUGUCACAAACCUUUGUCUUCACAACAUGUUCCAUGUUGGAAACCACAUCAUCCAGUUCCAGGCGGAGCUCGCUCUUCUCCUUCUCCAGUUUCUGCUUGACUCUCUGCAGGUUAUCGAUCUGCUCUCCGAGGUCCGCCACACUGUCGGCCUGUUUCUUCCUCAGUGUCGCAGUUGUGGACUCGUGCUGCAGAGUGGCCUCUUCGAGGUCUCUGCGCAGCUUCUGGAACUCGGCCUCCCUCUUCUUGUUCAUCUCAAUCUGAGCAGAUGUUGCUCCGCCAGCCUCCUCCAGACGCUCACUGAUCUCUUCAAGCUCCCUUGCCAAGUCAGCUCUCUGCUUCUCCACUUUGGCUCGGGCAGCUCGCUCUGCCUCCAGCUCUUCCUCCAGCUCCUCGAUGCGAGCCUGUUUAACAGUCAGGUUCAUUCAUUACUGUGUCGAGUGACUUAUAUUGAACAGUACUUUACCUGGAGCUCCUUCAGUUUCUUCUGUAGCUGAAGGGAUAUCGCCUGCUCAUCUUCUAUUUUAUUGUUGAGCUGACUAAGUUCAAAGUCCUUCCUGUCAAACAGAGUACAACAUAUCAGCUCAUGUCUUCUGUGUAGUAGUUUUAAAUGAAUAUUCACAAUGGGUGAAUGUACUUUUUAAGGUGCUCUUCAAGUUGCUGUUUGUCAUUCUCCAGGUCCAUCAGGCUCUCCUGGUUCAUUUUCAAAUCACCCUCCAGCUUUCUCUUAGCUCUUUCAAGAUCCAUUCUGACCUUCUUCUCCUGUUCUAGAGACCCCUCAAGCUAGGAGAAACCAUUCUAUAUUAGGAUUCAAGUUGGCUAAGAAUUUCAAAACUAUGUUCCUAAAAACCUUCUUACAUCAUCGACUUGUUGCUCCAGCUUGGACUUGGCCUUGGUCAGAGUGUUGACUUUGUCUUCUUCACUCUGCAGGUCGUCCAGUGUUUGCUGGUGGGCUUCCUGUAAUGCUUUCUUCUCCUUGGUCAGCUUGGCAAUGAUCUCGUCCAGAGCUGCCAUCUCCUCGACCAGGUUCUUCACCUGUAAUGAAACCGUUUUGUUAACAAACCACUAUAAGAGUAAUGCAGAGGGAAUUCCUGCUUUUGAUCUGUAGUUGGUCGUACCUUGUUCUCGGUGGCAUGUUUUUCUUUCUCUACUUUUGCCAAAGUUAACUCCAAAUCAUCAAUGUCUUUCUUCAGCUCUGAGCACUCAUCUUCCAAUUUCCUCUUCUUGGCAGUCAGCUCAGCGUUCAUCUCCUCUUCAUCCUCCAGUCUUUCCGACAAUUCUUUGGCCUUGGCCUCCAUUUGUAUUUUGUGUUUGAUUAACCCUUCACACCUUUCCUCAGCAUCAGCAAGAUUGUCUUGCUCCUAUUCAAAGAAAAGUUAUGUUUUCUAAAAAUGUAAUGCAUUGGGUUUUUUUUGUUGAACAGGCUUGGGCUGUUCUUACUGCUUGAACUUGGAGCUGAAGGUCAUUCUUCUCUUGGAGAAGCGAAACCAUUUUCUCUUCGAGUUCCUUCCGGCGAGCUUCAGACUUUGCGUACGCCUCCUUCAACUUGAGGAAUUCUUCUUUCAUGUUCGCCAUCUCUUUUUCUGCUUCAGCAGAUCUCAACAGAGGUUUGAUUUUGAAGUAAAGCUUCAUCCAGGGCCAAUUCUUGACCCCCAUGAAUGCACGAAUGUUCCACUGGAUCACCAGUAGUGCAUCCCUGCAAGGGAAAUACCAACGUUUUUUGUUUCACUGAGCGUUCACAACAUUUCAAAAUAACCUCCUCUUACCUUCUUUCAGUAAUCUUCUGGAAUUCCACUCUCGCCAGAAGACCUCUUGAUCUUGCCUGGAUUCCAGUAAUGAUUAGUGACAGACGGUCAUCUCUCAUUUCCUCUAAUUGCCCAAGAAGACCAGCUUUGAAGAACACCUAGAAGUAAUUGGGAAACUUCAGCAAUCGACAAUCCGACAAAUACACUUGAAUGCAUUUAGGAACCUUCCUUCCUCUUGUUAUUUGAUACAAAUGUAUGUUUGAGAAUAAGUACCUUUGUGUGUCCAAAUUUGUAUUGGUUGUGGUCAAUAUCCAGGGAACCAAGGAGUUUUUCUGCUCCUUUCUUACUAUCAAUGAACUGGCCCUCAGGGAUUGCUGCAGGAUUCAGGAUACGGUAUCUAAAACAGUAAAAGGUCAUGUUUAAGUUCUCGGUUUCUGUUUGAAAGUUUGACGUUAUCAAAUCUGAACUAACACCUCUGUUUGAAAUCUCCAUAGAGGAUCCUGUUUGGGAAGCCCUUCCUGCAGAUCCUGAUGCCUUCCAGCACACCGUUGCAGCGCAGCUGGUGCAUCACCAGAGGGUUCUCCAUGGCCCCAGGAGUCUUGGUCUCAUUGGGGAUGAUGCAGCGGACAAAGUGAGGUCUUAGCAGUGACUUUGUCACCCUCACGACUGACAAUGGAUGCCUUGACAUACUCUUCCUCUGUGUCUGGAACAAAGCACUCCUUCUUCAUGUCAAAGGGCCGCGUCUGAGCCUCCAGCCGCUCCCGGUCUGACUUCCUCAGAAAGGACUGCAACCCAUUUUGGUCCAAAACCACUCAUUGAGAUCUACAGCUAUGGGUGUUUCUACAAGGCUUUUAAUGGCUGGACAGACUUCAUUGGAACCCUGGGAGUGAGCGUGUUUUUAAUCAUGUGCAAUAUUACCUCUGAUGUGCUGUUAAUCAUAUUGUUAAUCCUCAGCACGUACCAGGUGGUAUGCAGUGCAGCUCCCUGCAGGGGUGCUGACAUGCUUGCAUAACCAUACCUUUUCCCAAUUCCCUGAAUGACAGGUUCAUGCUCUCAUGUGUAGAGAAAAGAGACCUCUUGCUAGCUGACCACAAACAUACACUGAGAGACAAUAGGUAGGAGUAUUAUUUUUGAAUACUGUAUUAUUAAUUUUCAUCUUGUUUUACUACAUUGCCAGCCAAGCAGAUGAGGAAUAAGUUUUAGCCCAAACCUGCAUGUGCUAUCACAGUUUCUGAAGCUUCUCUGUGCUGUAUAAUUCAUUUCUCAUAAUUCAAAGUGCCUCUCAUAAACUGUAACCCGCUUGAGUCAGUGGAUGAGUUUCUGACUAACUGCGUGUAUUGAAACUUUGCAAGCGUCUAUCCUUGUCAUUUGGAGUAAGAGGUGGACUUAAGUUUGGAUCCGCAGGCCAGCUGCAAGUGAUUUGGAGCAGGAUUAUGAGAGCGGGUGCUGGUUUUAAUGUCGACCUUGACACUCUGACUCUUUCUUCAGUGCUAUUUUAGGAUCAAGAGAUCAACUGAUCUUGAAUAUCAGAUUGUCGGGUCCUCUGCGAUGAAAAUCUGCCUGACGCAAAGCAAUUGUUUUCCUCCCGCACACAUUCUGCAAUGCUACAUGACAGUUCUCCAGUUGCAAAUUAUCAUGCAAGCUUUAGUUACUACAUCACAGGAAGAUUUCACUCCAAACAGGUAAAAAGGACAACAAAUUAGCUUAAUGCUCGACUUUAUUAUAUGCUACAUUUCUACAUUUUAGAUCUACUUCACACAGCAGGCAAAAGGUUUUCCGAGCAGUCCGAAAACCUUACUCCUCAUCAAACCCUUUCUGUCUCAGCAGGGGAGGUUGUGGAGCAGAAAAAAAGAAAAUAACAUUAGCCUUUGUUUAGUACCACAAAGCAAAGCAUAGCUAUGUCAUUAAGUGGCAGAGCCAAGAUUCAUACUGAAGUGUGUCAGUGCCUGGGCCAUGUGUCUAACCUUGGGACCAACAUCGCGGCUCUUGGCUCGGAGCUUGUUGACCUGUGACUCUGCGAUGUCAGCACGCUCUUCAGCUUCAUCCAGCUCAUGCUGCAGCUUGCGGAACUUGCCAAGGUGAGCGUUGGACUGCUCCUCCUGAUUUGACAAAUACAGUUGAAGACAGUGGCACUAGGCACAGACGGAUGACUUGAAGUGUUUCUGUACGUACAGCUUCCUCAGCUGAUCUCUUGUAGGCUUUAACCUUCAGCUGCAGUUUGUCCACCAGAUCUUGAAGUCGAGCAACAUUUUUGCGAUCCUCAUCAGUCUGUUAAAAAAAGGUAAUUGUUAUUUCUGGGUUUUUGUUCAUUUAAUUUUUUUUAUAACAUAACUUAGGCUCAUGUUUUUUUGCUAAUGAAAUUUAGGAUGGUUACACACAGUAGAUGGCGCUCUCAGCCCUAUAAUAUUUGAAUUUGAGCAAUUGUGUGAAUGAAACUCCACCUCUUCCCUCUGAUGUUGAGCUAUGAUGUGUCUGCAUUCACCUCUAAUAUUUCUGUGGGGAGCAAUGGGGAUUUCUUUAGGCACAAACAGUCCGUACUUGAAGUUCAGUUAGAAGUUUGUGAGAUAAAGGGAUGAACGUCUCAAAUUAAGUUGUGAACGGCUUGUUGCUCCACUGUCAAUCAGUAAUGUUGUUGUUUGUGGGACCACAGUUAUAUAUAUUCUACUGUCGAUGGGUAGCUAUUAAGAAACAAAAACUUGCUGGCUUUUAUGUUCUCAGGAGCUGAGAGGUGAUUUACAGACCUGAUAAGUCAGCUCCUUGAUGCGGCGCUCAUAUUUCCUUAUUCCUUUCACCGCUUCGCCGUUUUUCUUCUGCUCCGCCUCUACUUCGUUUUCCAGCUCUCUCACCUAGAUGACAUGAAUAAAGUUAUCUCACCAGCUGUCACACUCUGAUGAAGACAAGACGCACCCUGGCCUCAAGCUUCUGGAGCUGCUUCUUUCCUCCCUUCAUGGCGAUCUGCUCAGCUUCGUCCAGACGGUGCUGCAGGUCUUUGAUGGUUUGCUCCAUGUUCUUCUUCAUGCGCUCCAGGUGAGCGCUGGUGUCCUGCUCUUUCUUCAGCUCCUCAGCCAUCAUGGCAGCAUCAGUGAUGGCCUUUUUGGCCUUCUCCUCUGCAUUUCUACACUCCUGGACUGCGUCUUCAACCUCAGUCUGAAGCUGGGAUGCAUCAGCCUCCAGCUUCUUCUUCUGGUUUAUCAGGCCGGUGUUCUGAACGUCGUAGACGUGUGAUCAGUGUCAAUACUUUUAAUUCAUUCCUCAUAAUAGGACAGGAAGACUUGUUUGGUGCUGACCUGUGAGUGCAGUAGCUGAACUCUCUCAGUAACAUCCAGCAGCUCUUGUUCAGCAAGUUUUCGGGUUCUCUCUGUUUGCUCAAGAGCGGCUCUGAGUUCCUCCAGCUCUGCCUGAAGCAGGUUGUUGCGCCUCUCAACGAUUGCAGUGUUCUCCCUCAGAUCAUCAUUGAGGCGAUGAGACUCAUCCAGUUGAAUUUGGCAAUCCUUAAUAAAAGAGCACAGUCAGCAUAAAUGAUCCUAACUGCCCCUCAAAUAUUGGAACUGUUAUUGGGUUGAUUUUUGAGUCCACCUUCAGAUGAGCAUGAACAGACUUGAGCUGCUUUUGGGCCUCAGCUGCCUGCCUGUUGGCUUGGCUCAACUGGACCUCCAUCUCAUUCAGGUCUCCUUCCAUCUUCUUCUUCAAACGAAGGGCCUCAUUUCUGCUGCGACACUCGGCUUCAAGAGAGCUCUGCAGGGUAUCAAUGGUCCUCUGCAUGUUCCUCUUGCUCUGCUCCAUCUCCUCAUCUUUCUCAGCGAUCUUGCGCUCCAUGUCAGCCUUGAUUUGGUUGAACUCUAGUUGAGCUCGCAGGAUCUUUCCUUCCUCAUGUUCUAAGGAACCCUGCGAUGGAAAUUAAGUCAGUAGCUGACAUAUCAUUUAGUGAUUUCAAUCUUGGAAUUACCUCCGCUUCUUCAAGGGCAGACUGAAUCUCACCCUUCUCCUGCUCCAGUAGCUUACGUGCCUUAUCCAACUCAUACACAGUCUUUCCUCCCUCACUGAGUUGCUCAGUUAGGUCAGAAAUCUCCUCUGUUAGCAGAGGAAAUGAGUUAUUCGUACCAGCAGCGGAUCCAGGUGAGUGUCACCAACGAUUACCUUGCAGGUUUUUGUUUUCUCUUUUCAUGGUCUCCAGGUGUUCCAAAGACUCUUCAUAUGAGUUUUUAAGUUUGAAGAGCUCUGUGCUCAGAGAUCUGGAUUCCUUCUGGGAGCUCUCCAGUUCACACUGAGACUCCUCAUACUUCUGCUUCCACUCGGCCAGAAUCUGAACAGAAAUAAAAUGUGAAUACCGUACCUCUAGUUAAACCAGCUUCCUCGCCCCAAUCUCUUGACAGGUAGACAAUUUAAAUGUCAAGUGCCUUGUCAAAGUUUCUUUGCUUCUUGUCCAGGGCAGCAGCAGCAGCAUUAGAUCUCUCCACAUCGACCAUGAGAUCUUCAAUCUCAUUCUGCAGUCUGUGUUUGGUCUUCUCCAGAGAAGAGCAUUUAGCAUUGACUGCCUCGACAGCCUCCUCAGCCUCCUGCAGACGCAGGGCCAACUUCUUUCUGUGACAGUCAAAUAGAGUGGUUUUAGAAAUGUAAUUGAACCUGUAUUUCAGUACAGGGGUUUUACUCAAAACAAUUUCAAUUUCCUGUAUUAUAAUAGCUUACUUGGCUUCCUCCAGUUCCUCGGUCCUCUGGAUAGCAUCAGUUUCAUACUUAGUCCUCCACUGAGCCACCUCAGAGUUAGCCUUGGACAUGCCACGCUGCAGCUCACUUUUGGCUUCUUGUUCUUCCUCGUACUGCUCUCUGAGCAGGUCACAGUCAUGACGGGCCGACUGCACUGCAUGUGCUAGUGCAUUCUUGGCCUGGUCCACAGAAGCAUGAGCAUUUUGAUGUUAUUUUGAUUUUACAUAAGUCAUUCACUUACCUUGAUCUCUUCUUCUAGUUGUCUCUUAAGAUCCUCAACCUGCUGGUUGUAUGAAUUCUUCCCCCUAGUUAGCUGGGAUACAAGAGAUUCCUUCUCCUCCAGCUGUCUUGAAUAUUCAUCUGCAUUGGAAAAAAAUGUAAAGCUGCUACAAGUUGUCUGGUGAGUGUGCUAUUUCCUGGAUGAGUGCUGACCAUUCUCAGCUUGAAGCUUGGCUUUCUGAGUGGUGAAGUCAUUGAGAGUCCUUUGAUUUUCAUCACACUUCAUCCUGUAUUCGUUCGCUUGAUCCUCCAAUGUUCUGCAGGUUUUCUCUAAGUUGGUCUUUAAAGUGGAGACGCACAUUAGGUCGAUUGUUUUCUCUGUUAUUUUCAGCGAUGUUUCCAGGUUUUUAAAUGUCUUCUACCUUUGCUUUGACUACUUGCUCCAAACUGGAAACCACAUCAUCCAGUUCCAGGCGUAGCUCGCUCUUCUCCUUCUCCAGUUUCUGCUUGACUCUCUGCAGGUUAUCGAUCUGCUCUCCGAGGUCAGCCACACUGUCGGCCUGUUUCUUCCUCAGUGUCGCAGCGGUGGCUUCGUGCUGCAGAGUGGCCUCUUCGAGGUCUCUGCGCAGCUUCAGGAACUCGGCCUCCCUCUUCUUGUUCAUCUCAAUCUGAGCAGAUGUUGCUCCGCCAGCCUCCUCCAGACGCUCACUGAUCUCUUCCAGCUCCCUUGCCAAGUCAGCUCUCUGCUUCUCCACUUUGGCUCGGGCAGCUCGCUCUGCCUCCAGCUCUUCCUCCAGCUCCUCAACACGGGCCUUCAAAGUAUUUCAAACAAUCAUUUGUGUUACGUGUUGGCAUAUUAAAGUAAUCUCUCCAGUGUCUUUCAUUACCUGUAACUCUUUCAGCUUCUUUUGAAGUUGAAUGAUCAAUGUUUGCUCAUCUUCAAUUUUGCCAUUCAGCUGGCUGAUCUCAAAGUCUUUCCUGCAUCAACCAUGUUCACUGAUGAAUAUUAAUUUUGAAUAAGGAAAAAAAAAGACGUCAUAUUUACUUUUUCAAGCGUUCUUCCAACUGCUGUUUGUCAUUUUCUAAAUCCAUGACAGUUUCUUGGGUCAACUUUAAGUCACCCUCCAGCUUCCUUUUUGCUCUCUCGAGAUCCAUUCGGACCUUCUUUUCUUGUUCCAGAGAACCUUCAAGCUGGAUAUAUCCAUAAACAUUACUGCUUUGUCACUCAAGAGCCACAUUAAAAAGCAUAAGUCUUCUUACAUCAUCAACUUGCUGUUCCAGCUUGGUCUUGGCCUUGGUCAGAGUGUUGACUUUGUCUUCUUCACUCUGCAGGUCAUCCAGUGUUUGCUGGUGGGCUUCCUGUAAUGCUUUCUUCUCCUUAGUCAGCUUGGCGAUGAUCUCAUCCAGACCUGCCAUCUCUUCAGUCAGGUUUUUAACCUGUCGACAAUUUUAGAAUCAUUUUAUGCUUAACAAUUCACAAACUUUUGGUACCUUGUUCUCAGUGGCAUGCUUCUCUUUUUCCACUUUUGCUAAGGUUAACUCUAAAUCAUCAAUGUCCUUCUUCAAUUCAGAGCACUCGUCUUCCAGCUUUCUUUUCUUUGCUGUCAACUCAGCAUUCAUCUCCUCCUCAUCCUCCAGUCUUUCUGUUAGCUCUUUAGCUUUAGCCUCCAGUUGGAUCUUGUUUUUGAUCAGCCCUUCACAUCUUUCCUCAGCGUCACAGAGAUUGUCUUGUUCCUGCCAGGAAUUGACAACUUCAGCAUCUCAUCGUCACUUUUAAAAGAUCUACGCAGGUGUCACUAGCACCGUUUGAACUUGGAGCUGAAGGUCAUUCUUCUCUUGGAGAAGCGAGACCAUUUUCUCCUCUAGUUCCUUCCUGCGAGCUUCAGACUUUGCAUAUGAUUCUUUCAACUUGAGGAAUUCUUCCUUCAUGUUAGCCAUCUCCUUUUCUGCUUCAGCAGACCGCAGCAGAGGUUUGAUCUUAAAGAAAAGCUUCAUCCAGGGCCAAUUCUUGACCCCCAUGAAAGAACGCACAUUCCAUUGGAUCACAAGUAAAGCGUCUCUGGAAGAUGAAAAAGACAACUGCAUGACAUUGAUUAUUCUUUAUAUUCAAAUUCAGAAUCGGAAAAUACCUGCGCUCCACCAUCUUCUGAUACUCAAUACGGGACAAAAGUCCUCGUGAUCUCGCUUGAAUUCCGGUGAUGAUUUUGGAGAGACGUUCAUCUCUCAUUUCCUCGAGUAGACCCAACAGUCCAGCUUUGAAGAACACCUUGGCUCACACAACAUUUAAGUCACCUUAACUUUUCAUUUUCAUUUGAAUGAAAGAAGUCAGUAAAGUGAGAUAAGUACCUUUGUGUGUCCAAACCUGUACUGAUUGUGAUCGAUAUCCAGAGACCCGAGAAGUUUCUCAGCUCCCUUUCUACUGUCAAUAAACUGACCCUCAGGGAUCGCAGCAGGAUUCAGAAUGCGGUACCUGAAAGGAUAAUGCGCUGGUUGUUUAUCUACUCCUUGUUGCCAUGGUGAAUUCCACGUACGCCAGCCAGUCCCAACUAGAUUAUGUCUUGCAAUAAGUGUUCUCCAACAGUGUUGAUAAUGUUGCUUGGCCUGUACCAUAAAUGAAAACAAUUCAGUUUUAUUUGGUGGUUGAACUGUCAUCUACUCCGGAGUUGCCAAGCUAGUGUAGGCUCACUUACUGCCCCUGAUCUCCAUAGAGGCAUGUCCAACUGGGAGUAGGUCCUGGGACUGACCUAAGACAUGACCCACAGAUGAUGGCUCUAGAUUGACCUGGAAAUGUCUCUGUAUUCACCCAGAAUAUCUGGAAAAGAUUAGGAUGUUUGGCCCUCUAAAACAGAACUUGUUUCUGUGCAGUUAAGUGUCAACUUAUCAUUAAAUAUUGUGUUUCACCUUAUGAAAUCACCCCCCUCCUUCUCCUUGUCUAAAAAGUAAACACAACAGUCGCCCAUAACAUUACACAGAUCUUCAAGUGGAUUGUUCAACCUCUGUUUGAAAUCUCCAUAGAGGAUCCUGUUUGGGAAGCCCUUCCUGCAGAUCCUGAUGCCUUCCAGCACACCGUUGCAGCGCAGCUGGUGCAUCACCAGAGGGUUCUCCAUGGCCCCGGGAGUCUUGGUCUCAUUGGGGAUGAUGCAGCGGACAAAGUGAGGCAUUGCCAGGAACUUUCAAACACAUACCUCAUGUGACUCCUCCACUGCCGCGGCCUUUAUCUUUGCUUUGGCAACACUCACUUCCCAGCUCGGACCGGCCGUUGACAUGAACCAGGUUCCUUGUGCUGCCUGGCAAAGCAAAGUGAAAUGAACUUCAGGGCACAAUGAGGGUUUUUUUGGAAGACAUUGCUCCAUCUUUUACUUAAAAUUGCUUUGCUUUUUAUAAUUUGUGAUGUAUGUGACGUUCUGCUAAUCUGGAUGUGAGACGACUCCAUCUGCAUAAUGAAGUGCGGCCCUGGGGCCACUUGUGGCCCUUCGCAGGGAUUGAGGUGCAUCUCAUGAAGUCAGAGUGAAACUGAGUUGGUGGAGAUGUUUCUGUCUGCCAACUAAAAGCCAUGUACUUACCGAGUUCAAUUUUAUGUGAGAGUUUGGACUUAGUUUUAGUUAGAUAUUCUCCCCUAUUUUUUUCUUUCCUUCUUUCUUUCCUGACAACAACUUGUUUUAGUACGCAUUUAAUAAAAGAAUGUAAAAUGUAUUGGACCAUUCAAUCCUAUAUGCAUGCUGAAGGAUUAUUCUUAUUUAUAUAUUCUUUAUAUUUAUAUAUUCUUUUUUUUUAAUGUCGUAGCAUAGCUGUUGCUAGCUCAAAAUUGAUACAACAAAGUAGUAUUGUCUCUGAAACGCCGCCAGCGUUGCGCUACAACAUAUGAUGCUUGUUUGUAAAGCAGCUACUUUUGUGAAGUUGCUUUAGUCAACUUAUCGGCUUGCAAUAAGCUGAGGGCUUCCCUGACGUUUCGUUCUCAACAGCCUGCAGGGGUGACUUCAGUGUCUCUUUAUUGACCGCGUGUCAACUUUGCUUUGUUUAUGUAUGUCGCCACUAAAAGCAUGUCUGUCUGAGAGGAGGGGUCUGUGGCUGCAUGUCUCUGAUGUUCAGAGAAAUUAAAAGAGUGAAAAAAAUUCAGAUUUGUCCAUCACCAGAUUCAUGGAAUGCACUUCAGCUGUUGAAGGGCUGUUACCAGUUGUUACCAGAUUAGCACGGGAGGGUCAAGCCCAGCAGCUGCAUUCAUGUGACCCCACCUUAAAUAAAGAUAGUGAAGUAAUUGUAUUUGUACAUGGUCAUAAUAGAUUGAGCUGACUUAAUGUGGAAAGAAAAAGGUCUGCAGCUAUCUUUAGAAACGUUUGUCAUCCUAAGAGAAGAGAUUGGAGAUAUGUCUGCGACAGAGCUAUUUUUAAAAUGGCCGAAAGUAAACUGUUUCUCUCCUUGACUGUCAACUGACACUAGAUGAUAAGUGCGGCGCAGUAAAGGGUCUGAUCGAUAUCUGGCCACACAACAUUGUCCUAAAACAACUUUGCAAACUCCCUGAACACUGAGGUGUGCAGCUGCAGGAAACUGGUGCUGGGGAACGGGAGCACAGCGCAGUGGUCUGGGAUUCGGGAUGUGUGCGGAUGUUUGAUAACUCAAGGGUUUUCUCCUUUAUUAGGGUGAUGAACAUCAGAUUUUAUUAACAGACAGAUUGACUUAAGUGAAUAAUGCUGUGCUCUACAGUGACUGCUUUCCUCGCCAAGAUCUUGCGACUGCGGAGCUGUCUGCAUGAGGACAACAAAGUGGAAAAACGUAGAUUCUUCCCAAGUUACUGAAGAAUACUAUAGACUAUUUGUUGAUCAUUCGUUCAGCGUGUUGUGAGAGUAGCAUGAAGAUUUUGUUGUCUAGAAACCUUAAAACCAAGCGAUGGGUUGGUGUAGCUUCAGGAAGCACUGUCAACAUUGUCAGAUCUCAUUAGUUGGUGCUCCUGGUUUAAAAAACAUAUGUGAGGUUUCAUUUAUGAGUUGGACAAAGAUUAUAGAGCAGAGAAUGACAUCGAGUGUCUGCGAACUUGUUCUUCCAGUCUUAUCCGUCCAAUGAGGCGCUUCACAUUCCUCCAGUCCUGACCAGAGGGUAAACAGUAAGUAUCCAGUGCUUGUAUCUGCAAGGGCAACAAGAUCCAUGGGCACACUUGCUCCUUUCAUUUCUGCUUUUCUAAGAUGCUCUUGCUGUCAUGCUAAUGUUUAGCUUGGUGUUUUGGCCAAACUCAUUUUCAUUAAGUACUGAGUUUGGUCACUGAAACACAAUUCAUCUUUAAGUCUCAUAUAUAAUUUAUUGUUUGUUGAGGCAUCAUAGUGCAUUUAUAAGGCCUCAUGUUAUGAGACUUCAUAACCUUGUAGACAACUAGGUUUGACCGUUUAUUAACUUAAGGUUUAUUAUGUAUUAUAAGGUGCAGAAUUUGAAAGAAUAAGAAAGAACAUUAUCCUGUGUGGUUCGGUUAUGGCUAGUGAUGGGCUGAUGAGGCUUCGUAAAACAGUGUCUUCCUUCUCAGUGCUCAGAAGAUGGUGCUGUUGGUUUAGAAUUGAUGUGAAGUUCCAUUGACGCAGUUAAAUUCCAAAUAUUUUAGAGCAGAGAGCGCCAUCUAGUGAGCUCUGAAAAUGCGGACACUGUUUCAUGAAACCUCAUAAGCCCGUCACUUGUUCAGGGUUAGGGUUCAGGGCUCUUGAGUCUUUAUAACUACACAACUUAUAUUUUACAAACCUUGACACAAGUUACCAUACAUGGUUAUUAACAUUCAUCUCCUAUAGUGUUAUAAAAGCAUUAUGAUGUCUUGUGGAUGCACUAAUAAUGUAUUCGAAAUGAGAGCUUUUUUAUUUGACCUUGUGAUGCUCACACAGUGCACAUCAGAUGAAUUUCAAGUUGUUCCAGUAGUUUCAUAAAUCAUAUAAGUCACAGUGAAUCUCAACAGGUUUGGUUUGCCAAAGUUCUUUCAGCUCGGGUCCAGAUGAAUAUUAGUCUGUGUGUGAGCUGGAUAUUAAUAAACCCUUUGUUUAAGACCCUGUGUGACCCUGCUGAUCCUGCCAGACCACACAAUGGUUGUUUACCGGACGCACUGAGUGGCAUUUCACCUGAUAACAGGCGCUGAGAUAAAGCGUUGCUUUUACCAGAACUGGACACAAGUAUGUCCAGGCAGAGUCACGGGGGAAAAUGACCGGCCUGGCGAAACAAAGGACCUGCUGAUAGAGGAGUUAUUUUGGGCCGACAUCUCAUUUACCAUUGGCUGCAGAUUCAAGGAGCGAAUGCGGGCGUUGUUACAGCAUCCAGCUAAACAACCUGCUGUGUUUCAGCACAAAAAAGGCUUUUCCCUCCACAUUUUUUUUCUUCUGUGAAUAGAUUCACUUUGCAUUAUUUUUAUUUAGAACUGCGCAUUAUUGCCACACAUUGAGAUUUAAGUCAUAAUAUUACAAACAUAGAUAAUGUGAAGUUGAGAUUGGGCCGUGUUUCACCUUUAACAAGUAGAUGAGGGAAACCAGCAAUGAGCAACAGAGAUCGAAUGGCAUUGGAAGGAGGAAGGAAGAACUGAAGAAGGGUAAACAAAAUGAGAGGAGACGCUACCGGGACAAACUGUGGAAGAACUGAGACUAUUAAAGGUUUUGAGCAGAGGUGGAUGCUAUGUUGUUCAUUCGGGAGCAGCAACAUUGAGAGGUUUCUGGAUAAAAGUAAACUUUGGUAUAAAAUAUUCUGUGCCUCAGAAUUUAUCUCUCUUUGUCCUUUCUGUUUUCUUUGUA
Molecule: long non-coding RNA, 18578 nt
Organism: Synchiropus splendidus (mandarinfish)
Lineage: Eukaryota; Metazoa; Chordata; Actinopteri; Syngnathiformes; Callionymidae
Exons: 14
Source: RefSeq, a predicted model, not a curated record